RNAcentral lists this non-coding RNA (175 nucleotides) under Clostridium fallax. Lineage: Bacteria; Bacillati; Bacillota; Clostridia; Eubacteriales; Clostridiaceae. The record is from RNAcentral.
UUAUAAAAUUAAAGUUUAGGUUGAUUAUUUUCAUUAAAAGGGAAAUAGGUAAAAUGCCUAUGCGGUCCCGCCGCCGUGAAGAGAAGUAAAUUUUUUUUAUACCACUGGGUAACUGGGAAGGUAAAAAUUUAUGAUGAUACUAAGCCGGAAGACCUGCCUAUACUUAAACACAAUA